AUACGGAGGAUGCAAGCGUUAUCCGGAUUUAUUGGGUUUAAAGGGUGCGUAGGCUGCCGUGUAAGUCAGAGGUGAAAUCUCCGGGCUCAACCUGGGAACUGCCUUUGAUACUGCAUGUCUGGAGUUCGGAUGCCGUGGGAGGACUGGGCAGUGUAGCGGUGAAAUGCAUAGAUAUUGCCCAGAACACCGAUUGCGAAGGCAUCUCACGAAUCCGACACUGACGCUGAGGCACGAAAGCGUGGGGAUCAAACAGGAUUAGAUACCCUGGUAGUCCACGCAGUAAACGAUGAUAACUAACCGUCGGCGAUAGACAGUCGGUGGCCAAGCGAAAGCGAUAAGUUAUCCACCUGGGGAGUACGUUCGCAAGAAUGAAACUCAAAUGAAUUGACGGGG
Molecule: ribosomal RNA, 393 nt
Filed under: uncultured bacterium
Lineage: Bacteria
Description: partial 16S ribosomal RNA
Rfam family: Bacterial small subunit ribosomal RNA
Source: RNAcentral